UUGAACGCUGGCGGCAUGCUUUACACAUGCAAGUCGAACGGUAACAGGCCUUCGGGUGCUGACGAGUGGCGAACGGGUGAGUAAUGCAUCGGAACGUGCCCAGAGGUGGGGGAUAACGCAGCGAAAGCUGUGCUAAUACCGCAUGUGAUCUGAGGAUGAAAGCGGGGGACCAGGCAGCAAUGUUUGGCCUCGCGCCUUUGGAGCGGCCGAUGUCAGAUUAGGUAGUUGGGGGGGUAAAGGCCUACCAAGCCGACGAUCUGUAGCUGGUCUGAGAGGACGACCAGCCACACUGGGACUGAGACACGGCCCAGACUCCUACGGGAGGCAGCAGUGGGGAAUUUUGGACAAUGGGCGCAAGCCUGAUCCAGCAAUGCCGCGUGCGGGAAGAAGGCCUUCGGGUUGUAAACCGCUUUUGUACGGAACGAAAAGGCUCUGGCUAAUACCUGGGGCUGAUGACGGUACCGUAAGAAUAAGCACCGGCUAACUACGUG
RNAcentral lists this ribosomal RNA (491 nucleotides) under uncultured bacterium. Its description in RNAcentral is "partial 16S ribosomal RNA". It matches the Rfam family "Bacterial small subunit ribosomal RNA", at positions 30 to 507 of the family's 1533-position model. The record is from RNAcentral.